AAGGACACUGAGACACGGGCCCUACUCGUACGGGAGGCAGCAGUGGGGAAUCUUGGACAAUGGGUGAAAGCUUGAUCCAGCGACGCCGCGUGAAGGAAGGAGUCCCUCGGGAUGUAAACUUCUGAACUAGUAGAAUAAAGGGGUAGCGGACACGCUACAAGAGAAGGUAGGCUAGGAAAAGUCCCGGCUAACUACGUGCCAGCAGCCGCGGUAAGACGUAGGGGGCGAGCGUUGCCCGGAAUCACUGGGUGUAAAGGGGAGCGUAGGCGGUCAAACACAAGUCAUAUGUUGAAAACCAUUUGCUCAACGUACAAGGACUUGGCGUAUGAAACUGGAGAAGCUUGAGGGUAGCAGAGGUAGACGGAAUUACCUGAGUAGGGGUGAAAUCCGCAGAUACAGGUCAAGAAGGCCGGUGGAGAAGUCGGUCUACUGGGCUACUAACUGACGACUGAGGUCCGAAAGCCAGGGGAGCGAACCGGAU
Molecule: ribosomal RNA, 481 nt
Filed under: Thermotogales bacterium enrichment culture clone HF.46
Lineage: Bacteria; Thermotogati; Thermotogota; Thermotogae; Thermotogales
Description: bacterial SSU rRNA
Rfam family: Bacterial small subunit ribosomal RNA
Source: RNAcentral